This 379-nucleotide ribosomal RNA is filed under the name uncultured eukaryote. RNAcentral describes it as "partial 18S ribosomal RNA". It matches the Rfam family "Eukaryotic small subunit ribosomal RNA", at positions 592 to 976 of the family's 1831-position model. The record is from RNAcentral.
CAAUAGCGUAUAUUUAAGUUGUUGCAGUUAAAAAGCUCGUAGUUGGAUUUCGGAUGGGACUUGCCGGUCCGUCGUUUCGAUGUGCACUGGCCAGUCCUAUCUUGUUGUCGGGGACUAGCUCCUGGGCUUCACUGUCCGGGACUAGGAGCUGACGAGGAUACUUUGAGUAAAUUAGAGUGUUCAAAGCAAGCCUACGCUCUGAAUACAUUAGCAUGGAAUAACACGAUAGGACUCUGGCUUAUCUUGUUGGUCUGUGAGACCAGAGUAAUGAUUAAGAGGGACAGUCGGGGGCAUUCGUAUUUCAUUGUCAGAGGUGAAAUUCUUGGAUUUAUGAAAGACGAACUUCUGCGAAAGCAUUUGUCAAGGAUGUUUUCAUUAA